Equus caballus (horse) is the source of this 1076-nucleotide non-coding RNA. Lineage: Eukaryota; Metazoa; Chordata; Mammalia; Perissodactyla; Equidae. The record is from RefSeq and is a predicted model, not a curated record.
UUGUAAAUGACAGAAGAGUCAAAUUGUUUUGAAAUAUAAAGAUAUUUGUUGAUUGGCUAACAUAACUGCAAACUUCAAACUUAUGGAAGCUUCAUAGUUAGUUGAUAAAAUGAAUCAGUUAUGUUAUAAAAAGGUUCUUUUCUUUAUUCACUAUGUCCCAUUUAUCACAGUGUUGGAUUUAUCUUAACCUGCUCUCUUAGCACUAGAAGGAUUGCUACCUGUAACAAUUCAGAGAAAGGACUCUUUCUAUGACUCUGGUAGACUUAAUUGAACGUGAUUAUCAGGUGAAAAUGGAAAUGCUAUAAAACGGUAUUGGCAAGGAAGAAUAUUUUUGUCUCUCAGGUGAUCCACUUGGCUACUUACUGCUACUCUAUUCCAACUGUGACAGUAAAUGAGAAAAUACAGGAACUCUGGCCUGAGAAAAGCAUAGGGAAGAGGUGAUCAGACAUUUUAGGGGUGAAGUUCUGGGCUACACAUCUAGGUAAGUCACUGAGACCAGUCAAGAUGUUAGUGGAAGAGGAACUGAGAAUAGAAUUGUGAGUGAAGGAAGAAGAAGAUAAGUAGAAGUUAAAAUUCUAAGAUCAGCUGAGUGGCAAAGGACAUGGUUUAUUCUUCUAAGCAUUCUCUUCUAACUUCCCCCAGAAAGAGGGUCCUAGAUGAACUGUUCCCGUGAUAUAGAUGAAGAAAUGGAUUCAAGCGGCAUAAAGGGUCGACUGAGGCAUCCACACUGAAUACUCCUACAUUUAUCUAAAACUUUCAGAUGAUGGGGAGCCUGAAUGGAAAUAUGGAAAAUGUGGCCACUUGAAACUAUUUCUAGAACCACUGAUCAGCCAUACAUUAUUAUGUAUUCUAUGGUAACACAUAGAUGCAUGAGGUAUACACAGUUACCUCAUGUGAAGGAGGGAAGCACUGAUUUUGAAGACUGAGGAAAAAAACGCAAGAGGUGAGCCUUCAUCAAUCCACAGCUUCAGCAAUGACAGAACUUCUGAAUUGAGUGGGAGCAGUGAUGUGAGUGACCCUGUGGAAUGCUCCUCACAGUGGGCUUCUAAAGAAAGCUCAGACUUUCCUGCACAAGU